RNAcentral lists this ribosomal RNA (253 nucleotides) under uncultured bacterium. Its description in RNAcentral is "partial 16S ribosomal RNA". It matches the Rfam family "Bacterial small subunit ribosomal RNA", at positions 524 to 776 of the family's 1533-position model. The record is from RNAcentral.
UACGUAGGUGGCAAGCGUUGUCCGGAUUUACUGGGCGUAAAGGAUGCGUAGGCGGACAUUUAAGUCAGAUGUGAAAUACCCGAGCUUAACUUGGGUGCUGCAUUUGAAACUGGGUGUCUAGAGUGCAGGAGAGGUUAGUGGAAUUCCUAGUGUAGCGGUGAAAUGCGUAGAGAUUAGGAAGAACACCAGUGGCGAAGGCGACUUACUGGACUGUAACUGACGCUGAGGCAUGAAAGCGUGGGGAGCAAACAGG